This 468-nucleotide ribosomal RNA is filed under the name uncultured bacterium. Its description in RNAcentral is "partial 16S ribosomal RNA". It matches the Rfam family "Bacterial small subunit ribosomal RNA", at positions 28 to 507 of the family's 1533-position model. The record is from RNAcentral.
GACGAACGCUGGCGGCGUGCUUAACACAUGCAAGUCGAACGGAAAGGCCCUGCUUUUGUGGGGUGCUCGAGUGGCGAACGGGUGAGUAACACGUGAGUAACCUGCCCUUGACUUUGGGAUAACUUCAGGAGACUGGGGCUAAUACCGGAUAGGAGCUCCUGCUGCAUGGUGGGGGUUGGAAAGUUUCGGCGGUUGGGGAUGGACUCGCGGCUUAUCAGCUUGUUGGUGGGGUAGUGGCUUACCAAGGCUUUGACGGGUAGCCGGCCUGAGAGGGUGACCGGCCACAUUGGGACUGAGAUGCGGCCCAGACUCCUACGGGAGGCAGCAGUGGGGAAUAUUGCACAAUGGGCGGAAGCCUGAUGCAGCAACGCCGCGUGCGGGAUGACGGCCUUCGGGUUGUAAACCGCUUUCGCCUGUGACGAAGCGUGAGUGACGGUAAUGGGUAAAGAAGCACCGGCUAACUACGUG